RNAcentral lists this ribosomal RNA (421 nucleotides) under uncultured bacterium. RNAcentral's name for it is "partial 16S ribosomal RNA". It matches the Rfam family "Bacterial small subunit ribosomal RNA", at positions 359 to 773 of the family's 1533-position model. The record is from RNAcentral.
AAAAUUGGACAAUGGGGGCAACCCUGAUCCAUCCAUGCCGCGUGUGUGAAGAAGGUCUUCGGAUUGUAAACCACUUCAAGAUGGGAGGAAGGGCUUUAGGUUAAUACCCUGAGGUUUCUACGUUACUCACAGAAUAAGCACCGGCUAACUGUUUGCCAGCAGCCGAGGUAAUACAGAGGGUGCAAGCGUUAAUCGGAAUUAAUGGGCGUAAAGCGCGCGUAUGUGGUUCAGUAAGAUGGGUGUGAAAUCCCCGGGCUUAACCUGGGAACUGCUUUCAUAACUGCUGAGCUAGAGUACGGUAGAGGGUAGUGGAAUUUCCUGUGUAGCGGUGAAAUGCGUAGAUAUAGGAAGGAACACCAGUGGCGAAGGCGACUACCUGGACUGAUACUGACACUGAGGUGCGAAAGCGUGGGGAGCAAAC